Molecule: ribosomal RNA, 598 nt
Filed under: uncultured bacterium
Lineage: Bacteria
Description: bacterial SSU rRNA
Rfam family: Bacterial small subunit ribosomal RNA (bases 1-516)
Source: RNAcentral
CCUACGGGAGGCAGCAGUGGGGAAUCUUGCGCAAUGGGCGAAAGCCUGACGCAGCCAUGCCGCGUGAAUGAUGAAGGUCUUAGGAUUGUAAAAUUCUUUCACCGAGGACGAUAAUGACGGUACUCGGAGAAGAAGCCCCGGCUAACUUCGUGCCAGCAGCCGCGGUAAUACGAAGGGGGCUAGCGUUGCUCGGAAUUACUGGGCGUAAAGGGAGCGUAGGCGGAUAGUUUAGUCAGAGGUGAAAGCCCAGGGCUCAACCUUGGAAUUGCCUUUGAUACUGGCUAUCUUGAGUACGGAAGAGGUAUGUGGAACUCCGAGUGUAGAGGUGAAAUUCGUAGAUAUUCGGAAGAACACCAGUGGCGAAGGCGACAUACUGGUCCGUUACUGACGCUGAGGCUCGAAAGCGUGGGGAGCAAACAGGAUUAGAUACCCUGGUAGUCCACGCUGUAACGAUGAGUGCUAGUUGUCGGCGAUGCAUGCAUGUCGGUGACGCAGCUACGCAUUAAGCACUCCGCCGUGGGGAGGUACGGUCGCGAAGAAGUUAAACUUACAAGUAGUUAGUUAGCGNGNGAGNGCGACGACGACGACGAGGAGGAGG